CAGGAUGGACCCGCGUCUGAUUAGCUAGUUGGUAAGGUAACGGCUUACCAAGGCGACGAUCAGUAGCCGACCUGAGAGGGUGAUCGGCCACAUUGGAACUGAGACACGGUCCAAACUCCUACGGGAGGCAGCAGUGGGGAAUAUUGCACAAUGGGCGAAAGCCUGAUGCAGCAACGCCGCGUGAGUGAUGAAGGCCUUCGGGUCGUAAAACUCUGUCCUCAAGGAAGAUAAUGACGGUACUUGAGGAGGAAGCCCCGGCUAACUACGUGCCAGCAGCCGCGGUAAUACGUAGGGGGCUAGCGUUAUCCGGAUUUACUGGGCGUAAAGGGUGCGUAGGCGGUCUUUCAAGUCAGGAGUGAAAGGCUACGGCUCAACCGUAGUAAGCUCUUGAAACUGGGAGACUUGAGUGCAGGAGAGGAGAGUGGAAUUCCUAGUGUAGCGGUGAAAUGCGUAGAUAUUAGGAGGAACACCAGUUGCGAAGGCGGCUCUCUGGACUGUAACUGACGCUGAGGCACGAAAGCGUGGGGAGCAAACAGGAUUAGAUACCCUGGUAGUCCACGCUGUAAACGAUGAGUACUAGGUGUCGGGGGUUACCCCCCUCG
Molecule: ribosomal RNA, 602 nt
Filed under: Clostridioides difficile
Lineage: Bacteria; Bacillati; Bacillota; Clostridia; Peptostreptococcales; Peptostreptococcaceae
Description: bacterial SSU rRNA
Rfam family: Bacterial small subunit ribosomal RNA
Source: RNAcentral